Molecule: ribosomal RNA, 406 nt
Filed under: uncultured soil bacterium
Lineage: Bacteria
Description: bacterial SSU rRNA
Rfam family: Bacterial small subunit ribosomal RNA
Source: RNAcentral
AGAACGAACGCUGGCGGCAUGCCUAAUACAUGCAAGUCGAACGAACUCUUCGGAGUUAGUGGCGCACGGGUGCGUAACGCGUGGGAAUCUGCCCCUUGGUUCGGAAUAACAGUUGGAAACGACUGCUAAUACCGGAUGAUGACGAAAGUCCAAAGAUUUAUCGCCAAGGGAUGAGCCCGCGUAGGAUUAGCUAGUUGGUGAGGUAAAGGCUCACCAAGGCAACGAUCCUUAGCUGGUCUGAGAGGAUGAUCAGCCACACUGGGACUGAGACACGGCCCAGACUCCGUACGGGAGCAGCAGUAGGGAAUAGUGGACAAUGGGACGAAAGCCUGAUCCAGGCAAGUGCCGCGUGAGUGAGUGAAGGUCCGUUAGGGUUAGUAAAGUCUUACCUUUUACCCGAGUAUAG